CCCUUAGAUGUCCUGGGCUGCACGCGCGCUACACUGAUGUGUCCAGUAAGCACCUAACCUCUUCCGAAAGGAACGGGUAACCUUUGCAAAGCACAUCGUGAUGGGGAUAGAUUAUUGCAAUUAUUAGUCUUGAACGAGGAAUUCCUAGUAAGCACAAGUCAUCAGCUUGUGUUGAUUACGUCCCUGCCCUUUGUACACACCGCCCGUCGCUCCUACCGAUUGAGUGCUCAGGUGAAUAAUUCGGACUGCAGCAAUGUUUGGAUCCCGAACGUUGCAGCGGAAAGUUUAGUGAACCUUAUCACUUAGAGGAAGGAGAAGUCGUAACA
Molecule: ribosomal RNA, 326 nt
Filed under: uncultured eukaryote
Lineage: Eukaryota
Description: partial 18S ribosomal RNA
Rfam family: Eukaryotic small subunit ribosomal RNA
Source: RNAcentral